RNAcentral lists this long non-coding RNA (299 nucleotides) under Setaria viridis. RNAcentral's name for it is "long non-coding RNA (SVIR_LNC001974)". The record is from RNAcentral. Lineage: Eukaryota; Viridiplantae; Streptophyta; Magnoliopsida; Poales; Poaceae.
AUGUUUCAAGUACUAAGAUUCCACACUAUUCCCAUUAUACUGCUCUGUGGCCAGUACAGUACUAAAAUAGUGGUUUCCACUGUUGACGUGAAUCCCUCGUAAAAAAGCCUACACUAUAGACUGCAAGGACCCUGAACGUGAAGCCUUCUCAGGUCGAUGGGACUCCACACUGACCCCUACAUCCUUGCACCUGCAAAGCCUAUAUCUAGCAUUUCUCGAGAUGAUUGAACACGAUGGGGUACUGAGCACAUGGGGACGCAGUGCAUCUCCAUCUCAGCACUCCUUAUAUUGGACCCCCC